GAUGAACGCUGGCGGCGUGCCUAAUACAUGCAAGUCGAGCGAACAGACGAGGAGCUUGCUCCUCUGACGUUAGCGGCGGACGGGUGAGUAACACGUGGAUAACCUACCUAUAAGACUGGGAUAACUUCGGGAAACCGGAGCUAAUACCGGAUAAUAUAUUGAACCGCAUGGUUCAAUAGUGAAAGACGGUUUUGCUGUCACUUAUAGAUGGAUCCGCGCCGCAUUAGCUAGUUGGUAAGGUAACGGCUUACCAAGGCGACGAUGCGUAGCCUACCUGAGAGGGUGAUCGGCCACACUGGAACUGAGACACGGUCCAGACUCCUACGGGAGGCAGCAGUAGGGAAUCUUCCGCAAUGGGCGAAAGCUUGACGGAGCAACGCCGCGUGAGUGAUGAAGGUCUUCGGAUCGUAAAACUCUGUUAUUAGGGAAGAACAAAUGUGUAAGUAACUAUGCACGUCUUGACGGUACCUAAUCAGAAAGCCACGGCUAACUACGUG
RNAcentral lists this ribosomal RNA (497 nucleotides) under uncultured bacterium. RNAcentral's name for it is "partial 16S ribosomal RNA". It matches the Rfam family "Bacterial small subunit ribosomal RNA", at positions 28 to 507 of the family's 1533-position model. The record is from RNAcentral.